Molecule: ribosomal RNA, 407 nt
Filed under: uncultured bacterium
Lineage: Bacteria
Description: partial 16S ribosomal RNA
Rfam family: Bacterial small subunit ribosomal RNA
Source: RNAcentral
AUUGAACGCUGGCGGCAGGCCUAACACAUGCAAGUCGAGCGGAGCGGCGGACGGGUGAGUAAUGCCUAGGAAUCUGCCUGGUCGUGGGGAAUAACGUCCGGUAACGGGCGCUAAUACCGCAUACUAUCAGAUGAGCCUGGGUCGGAUUAGCUAGUUGGUGGGGUAAAGGCCUACCAAGGUGACGAUCCGUAACUGGUCUGAGAGGAUGAUCAGUCACACUGGAACUGAGAUACGGUCCAGACUCCUACGGGAGGCAGGAGUGGGGAAUAGUGGACAAUGGGCGAAAGCGUGAUACAGCCAUGCCGCGAGUGUGAAGAAGGUCUUCGGAUUGUAAAGCACUUUAAGUUUGGAGGCGUUACCAACAGAAUAAGCACCGGCUAACUUCGUGCCAGCAGCCGCGGUAAUUC